GGGAGUGGAGCCGCCUGAAGGCCACCCGUUAUCACCGCCAGCUCCGUGCCAAGCACGUCUGCCAGACCCACAGAGAUCCUUUCUGUUUCUGGUGGAGGGAGGGAGGGUGGCCGGUGUGUUUGGUGUGGAGGGGCUGCUAUUGGGGUCUGAGGCACCCAGGGAGUGUCUGGACCCACAGCAGGGCCCCUGCCCAGGUGGUCAUCCUGACCCCUGCUGAUGGGGGAAGGACCAGGACACAGUCCCCGGCUGGUGCUGGCUGGACUGCUGAGGCCUUCUCGGGGUUGGCGGUGCAGCAGGAGGCCCCGGGAUGGUGGGAAGGAUGCCCGGGUGGGGCUCCUCUGCUUUCAGGCCCUUCCACCCCUACUCUGCAAAUCUCCGGCAGGAGGUCCCCAGGAUGGGUGGGAGCCAGGCUGUGCGGCCUCCAGUGGGUGAGGUGCGGGGGUGCGACGGGGUCCUUGGCACAGAGCAGCCCUCUGGUUGCAUGUGACAGCGGCGGCCAAGGUCUCCCCUGCGCAUAAAUGUGGAGCUCGCUCGGCAGCAGCAGAACUCCCGGCUCAGAGAGUUCUCCACCGCUCCUCCCAGGCUCACGAGGCUCACGGGCUACCCAGCGCCAGCGGCCCAGGAGGCUGGACCACAGGUAAGACGAGGCCCAAGGCCUGCCUCUGGGAACUCGGCCCUGGCUUGGCUCUGCCCUCCUCACUCCCACAGGAUCUCCGUGCCCACCAGGCCUCAGUCCCGACUUCUCCCUGCUGCCCGGCACGGGACCCUCCCCCAGGACAGCCACCUCCCAGUGCUGAAGAGCCGGCCCGCCUCAGAGCCGCCCGCCGUUCCUUUUUCCUAUGCAUAUACUUCUUUGAGGAUCUGGCCUAAAGAGGUAUAGGGCAUGGGAAAACGGGGCGGUCGGGUCCUCCCCAGCGGCACCUGCACCAGUGCACCUGCACCUGCUCCAGCAGCACCUGCCUCCUGACUUGGGACUCCACCUGCUUCCUUUCUCCUCGGCCGGGAGCCCCGGGGCUUUGACCCCCACAUCCUUGGGGCAGAAAGGGGCCAAAUAUUCUAAAACAAGGGAAACGUGGAUGUGUGCUUUUGUGUGGGUUCUGGAAGUGUCUGGGGAGGACGUGGUCCAGGCCUCUGCCCUGGGUUGAUCUCUGCAGCCCCUGAGCUGGGACCCAGGAUGCAGAGAGGAGGGCUGGAGCUGGGCGGUGCUCUGUGACCAGUCUGACCGGAGUUGGGGGUGGACCCAUUACAGGAGGUGGCGGGAGGGACAACCUGGGCUCUGGGGCCGCCUGGUGGUCGGGGGAAGUGGGGCGGGGUGCCUGGGAUCUGGGCUCUGGCUGGGAGGAUCCACAACUCAUUCUUUGGACAUUUUCUUUGCAGACUACGAAGCUGCACCGUGUGGGGCCCACUUUUUAUACAAGCGGGUGGCGGUGGAUCCAGGCGCAGACGGGAGUGAGGCGUGGCGGAGACGCGUGCACGCUGGGUCUGUGCACUUUUGCUGCUGCUGCUUUUUUUUUUUUUUUUUUUUUUUGAGAUGGAGUCUCGUUCUGUCACCCAGGCUGGAGUGCAGUGGCGCGAUCUCGGCUCACUACAACCUCUGUCUCCCGGGUUUAAGCGACUUUCCUGUCUCAGCCUCCCAAGUAGCUGAAACGACAGGCGCCUGCCACCAUACCCGGCUAAUUUUUUUAUUUUUAGUAGAGAUAGGGUUUCACCUUGUUAGGCUGGUCUUGAACUCCUGACCUCAUGAUCCACCUCACUCGGCCUCCCAAAGUGCUGGGAUUACAGGCGUGAGCCACAGCGCCCGGCUGGCUGUUGCUUCUUAACACCUUUAUUACUUUUGUAAUCAUGGGUAUGAGUUGAUUUUCUGGUCAGAAAUUUCAGUAGAGCUAAUUUCAUUUAAAUGUGUGAGAUGUGGUAAAGUUUUGACAAUAAAUACAAAUUUUGACAAAGCAGCUCUGUCGUGCUGGUCUCCUCUCGUUCAC
RNAcentral lists this long non-coding RNA (1979 nucleotides) under Homo sapiens (human). RNAcentral's name for it is "HSALNT0360812". The stretch from base 825 to 900 matches the Rfam family "mir-202 microRNA precursor family". Lineage: Eukaryota; Metazoa; Chordata; Mammalia; Primates; Hominidae. The record is from RNAcentral.